UGAGCACACGGUGAUGGAGUUCCACCGAUUGAACCGCCUUAGUGCUGAUGACUCCUACCCCAGA
This 64-nucleotide non-coding RNA is filed under the name Vibrio stylophorae. RNAcentral describes it as "Fluoride". It matches the Rfam family "Fluoride riboswitch aptamer (crcB RNA motif)". Lineage: Bacteria; Pseudomonadati; Pseudomonadota; Gammaproteobacteria; Vibrionales; Vibrionaceae. The record is from RNAcentral.